RNAcentral lists this long non-coding RNA (446 nucleotides) under Vigna radiata. RNAcentral describes it as "long non-coding RNA (VRAD_LNC006688)". The record is from RNAcentral. Lineage: Eukaryota; Viridiplantae; Streptophyta; Magnoliopsida; Fabales; Fabaceae.
AGGUUCAAGUUUGGGGUUGUAUGGGGGAAAAAUGAGAAAAGCAAAUGAAAAGCAUUGAGCUCAAAUGUUGUGAAAAGAAAAAUUCAUGAGAAAAAGAAAAGAAAAGAAGAAAAACAUGAAGAGGAGCUCAAUGAAAAAGAAAAAGAAAAAAAAAAGGGAAAAAAAAGUUGGGAACAAGUGAGAUUGGUGAGGAAGAGAGUUGUGCUAAAUUGUUGAAUAUUUUGAAAGCUCUUUUAACUCAAGGACUUUGUAAUCCGGAAAAACCAAUUUUUCUUGUUACCUCAACCUCAUUACAAGCCUUGAAGAAGUCCUUUUGAUGACAUUUGCAUGAAAAGAUGUUGAUUGUUUGAGAUGAAUGGCAAUUUUGUUUUAUGUGACUUGUGAACAAUAGAGAAUGGAGUGUAACCUUAAACACUUGAGUGAUUGAGUGAAACACUUGCUUGAUA